This 468-nucleotide ribosomal RNA is filed under the name uncultured bacterium. RNAcentral's name for it is "bacterial SSU rRNA". It matches the Rfam family "Bacterial small subunit ribosomal RNA", at positions 8 to 492 of the family's 1533-position model. The record is from RNAcentral.
AGAGUUUGAUCCUGGCUCAGAAUCAACGCUGGCGGCGUGCCUCAGACAUGCAAGUCGAACGAUUAAAGCUCUCUUCGGAGAGUGCAUAGAGUGGCGCACGGGUGAGUAACACGUAAGUAAUCUACCCUCGAGUGGGGAAUAACAUCGGGAAACCGAUGCUAAUACCGCAUAAUGCAGCGGCACCGCAAGGUGACAGUUGUUAAAGAUUUAUCGCUUGAGGAGGAGCUUGCGGCAGAUUAGCUAGUUGGUAAGGUAAUGGCUUACCAAGGCUACGAUCUGUAACCGGUCUAAGAGGACGGUCGGUCACACUGACACUGAAUAACGGGUCAGACUCCUACGGGAGGCAGCAGUCGGGAAUUUUGGGCAAUGGGCGAAAGCCUGACCCAGCAACGCCGCGUGAAGGAUGAAGUAUUUCGGUAUGUAAACUUCGAAAGAAUAGGAAGAAUAAAUGACGGACUAUUAUAAGUC